CCACAACAGGAACUCCACAAGUUUUCCCUUUUUAAGGGCACGAAUCCCAUUCAGGAGGGCUCCAUCUUCAUGACCUAUUCACUUCCCAAAGGCCAAACCCCCCAAUACCAUCGUCACCCCAGGGGGUAGGAUUUCAACAUAGGAUUUUUGAGGGGAUACAAACAUUCAGUCCAUAACACGUAUCAAUGGAGUAACACCGGGCAUGGCCUUUGGGGUACAAAUGAGCAGGUAUUCUGGCUUUGUUUGGAUUCAAGUGCCCCAGGCUAAUCUGGCAUAGGAAAACGGAUUCUUCCAAACUGGCCAGGUUCACCCCUUGGAGCUGUAUGCUGGAGUUUGGAGCCAAAGGCCCAGGUAAUAAUAAAGGGUCACUUUGUUUUAAACUCUGGGCAUGGGUUUUCCUCCGAGACCUCCUGGAACCAGGUAAUCGGGGCAGGAUUGAGGUUCUGCUCUAUCCUGGCCAAACACAUCCUCAGCCUGUUGAUCUCAUCCUUUGAUAGAUCCCCACUCACCAAUCUCAGACGUGUGACCUCAACAAAUGAGGUCCUCGCCUAACUUUCUUUUUUUUUUUUUUUUUUUUUUGCUUUUUAGGGCCACACUUGCGGCAUAUGGAGGUUCCCAGGACAUCACACAUUGACAAUUAAAUGUCCUAUUGCAUUUCAAAGUAACAUUAAUCCCCAAAGACAAAGAACAAAACUAUAGGGAAUGCUGUGAGAAGAUGCUGCCUUUUCUGAAUAUCAUCAAUUAAACCAGAUUUCCAUAACACAAAAUGAAACCGUACACUGGUAGCACAAUCCCAAUGACUAAAAGAUUGAGAUGGGCUUAAAAAGUACACAUCAGCACAGGAAAAUUCCACUGUUGUUUUCAAGCCUUCCGAUAAAGGUGAUUGAGCUCCUAAGAACAGGGAGUGCUCCUCAGAAAAUAUAUUUUUCAAUCCCAUUUGCCAAGCACUUGAGUGUGUAUUUAUGAAGCCCAUCAAAUCUACCAUCUAAAAGCAUUUCACAUGAUACCUUAAUGAAUUGGAUCUAGGGGCUAUAAAAUAAAAAUUUCUGCCUGGCUAUCUAUAUACAUAUAAAGGCAAUGUUCAUUUGCAUUUGCAGCUCUGAGUCAAUCGCCCGAAAUGACAACAGGCUUCAACUCCCCACUCUGCUUUCUGCUCAGGAAACCUUCCAGCUUACCUGCAGCCCCGGCUUCAGUCAUUUGUCACUGACUGACACAAACCACAAAGCUCAAGAAGGGCCAGGUUUGCGUUCACCCCUGUAAUGUGCAAUAACCAAAUGCAGUUUUAGACCUGGUCCUGUUUCAAUCCAAGAUCUGUUUAGGCCCCUACCCCUUUAAAACGAGAGGACUCCCCGACAGCACUUCUUAAACUUGGUGGCCAGGAGCCAGGGCUGCCAACAAUCAAGAACCUUGAGAAGCAAGGCCC
This 1423-nucleotide long non-coding RNA is filed under the name Sus scrofa (pig). RNAcentral describes it as "lncRNA (ENSSSCG00015055259.1)". The record is from RNAcentral. Lineage: Eukaryota; Metazoa; Chordata; Mammalia; Artiodactyla; Suidae.